UACGGAAGGGGCAAGCGUUGUUCGGAAUCAUUGGGCGUAAAGGGCGCGUAGGUGGUUCUGUAUGUCUACCGUGAAAGCAUACAGCUCAACUGUAUUUGUCGGUAGAAACUGCAGGACUUGAGGCUGGGAGGGGCUGGUGGAAUUCCCUGUGUAGCGGUGAAAUGCGUAGAGAUGGGGAGAACACUCGUGGCGAAGGCGGCCAGCUAGACCAGUUCUGACACUGAGGCGCGACAGCGUGG
Molecule: ribosomal RNA, 239 nt
Filed under: uncultured bacterium
Lineage: Bacteria
Description: partial 16S ribosomal RNA
Rfam family: Bacterial small subunit ribosomal RNA
Source: RNAcentral